UUUCCGUAGGUGAACCUGCGGAGGGAUCAUUACCACGCAAGGCGAAGCGGAGCGAGGGGCGUAGCCCUGAGCGACGCUGAGCCGAACAAACCCCAUUCCGCUGGCCUGGCCUCGUGCCGCGCCCAGCAGUGAACCCCACGUUACACAGCGCUCCCAGCUGAGUGGGCGGGGCGGGCCUAAAUGGCCCACCCGCGGCUGGUACUGCAGCGCUCUACCAAAUUCCCCCACACAAUCCACACACCCAAUCAAACCACACGCCUCGGCAUACACUGGCAGUGGGCGCUAACCCGCCCACCGCCUACCAUUACAAACGCUUACAACUUUCAGCAACGGAUAUCUUGGCUCUU
Molecule: unclassified non-coding RNA, 347 nt
Filed under: plant metagenome
Description: partial contains small subunit ribosomal RNA, internal transcribed spacer 1, and 5.8S ribosomal RNA
Source: RNAcentral